Molecule: ribosomal RNA, 497 nt
Filed under: uncultured bacterium
Lineage: Bacteria
Description: partial 16S ribosomal RNA
Rfam family: Bacterial small subunit ribosomal RNA
Source: RNAcentral
GAUGAACGCUGGCGGCGUGCCUAAUACAUGCAAGUCGAGCGAACAGAUAAGGAUCUUGCUCCUGUGACGUUAGCGGCGGACGGGUGAGUAACACGUGGGUAACCUACCUAUAAGACUGGGAUAACUUCGGGAAACCGGAGCUAAUACCGGAUAACAUUUGGAACCGCAUGGUUCUAAAGUGAAAGAUGGUUUUGCUAUCACUUAUAGAUGGACCCGCGCCGUAUUAGCUAGUUGGUAAGGUAACGGCUUACCAAGGCGACGAUACGUAGCCGACCUGAGAGCGUGAUCGGCCACACUGGAACUGAGACACGGUCCAGACUCCUACGGGAGGCAGCAGUAGGGAAUCUACCGCACUGGGCGAAAGCCUGACGGAGCAACGCCGCGUGAGUGAUGAAGGGUUUCGGCUCGUAAAACUCUGUUAUUAGGGAAGAAAAAACGUGUAAGUAACUGUGCACGUCUUGACGGUACCUAAUCAGAAAGCCACGGCUAACUACGUG